RNAcentral lists this ribosomal RNA (465 nucleotides) under Vreelandella stevensii. Its description in RNAcentral is "partial 16S ribosomal RNA". It matches the Rfam family "Bacterial small subunit ribosomal RNA", at positions 338 to 795 of the family's 1533-position model. Lineage: Bacteria; Pseudomonadati; Pseudomonadota; Gammaproteobacteria; Oceanospirillales; Halomonadaceae. The record is from RNAcentral.
CCUACGGGGUGCAGCAGUGGGGAAUAUUGGACAAUGGGCGAAAGCCUGAUCCAGCCAUGCCGCGUGUGUGAAGAAGGCCUUCGGGUUGUAAAGCACUUUCAGUGGGGAAGAAAGCCUUGGGGCUAAUACCCUCGAGGAAGGACAUCACCCACAGAAGAAGCACCGGCUAACUCCGUGCCAGCAGUCGCGGUAAUACGGAGGGUGCGAGCGUUAAUCGGAAUUACUGGGCGUAAAGCGCGCGUAGGCGGUCUGAUAAGCCGGUUGUGAAAGCCCCGGGCUCAACCUGGGAACGGCAUCCGGAACUGUCAGGCUAGAGUGCAGGAGAGGAAGGUAGAAUUCCCGGUGUAGCGGUGAAAUGCGUAGAGAUCGGGAGGAAUACCAGUGGCGAAGGCGGCCUUCUGGACUGACACUGACGCUGAGGUGCGAAAGCGUGGGUAGCAAACAGGAUUAGAUACCCCAGUAGUC